UACAGAGGGUGCAAGCGUUGUUCGGAAUUACUGGGCGUAAAGGGCUCGUAGGUGGCCAACUAAGUCAGACGUGAAAUCCCUCAGCUUAACUGGGGAACUGCGUCUGAUACUGCGGUGCUUGAGGAUCAGAGGGGUGCAUGGAAUUUCCGGUGGAGCGGUGAAAUGCGUUGAUAUCGGAAGGAACUCCGGCGGCGAAAGCGAUGCACUGGCUGAUUUCUGACGCUGAGGUGCGAAAGCCAGGGGAGCAAACGGG
This 253-nucleotide ribosomal RNA is filed under the name uncultured bacterium. RNAcentral's name for it is "partial 16S ribosomal RNA". It matches the Rfam family "Bacterial small subunit ribosomal RNA", at positions 524 to 776 of the family's 1533-position model. The record is from RNAcentral.